RNAcentral lists this unclassified non-coding RNA (167 nucleotides) under uncultured Basidiomycota. RNAcentral describes it as "sequence contains ITS1". Lineage: Eukaryota; Fungi; Basidiomycota. The record is from RNAcentral.
ACGAAAUCGAGCUUCGGCUCGGUGACGUCUCUCUCGCUGUGCGCCUUUUGGCUGCACGCUUGGGAAUCCACACACCUGUGCACACUCGGUUGGCGGGUUUCGGCCCGCCAUUCGCCUACACUUACUUUGUAUGUCUCGAAUGUCUAAACGUCUUUAAUGACAAAAUA